RNAcentral lists this ribosomal RNA (274 nucleotides) under uncultured bacterium. RNAcentral's name for it is "partial 16S ribosomal RNA". It matches the Rfam family "Bacterial small subunit ribosomal RNA", at positions 523 to 796 of the family's 1533-position model. The record is from RNAcentral.
AUACGGAGGGUGCAAGCGUUAAUCGGAAUUACUGGGCGUAAAGCGUACGUAGGCGGUUCGUGAAGUUAGAUGUGAAAGCCCCGGGCUUAACCUGGGAACUGCAUUUAAAACUGGCGGACUAGAGUUGAGUAGAGGGGAGUGGAAUUUCAGGUGUAGCGGUGAAAUGCGUAGAGAUCUGAAGGAACACCAGUGGCGAAGGCGACUCCCUGGACUCGAACUGACGCUGAGGUACGAAAGCGUGGGUAGCAAACGGGAUUAGAAACCCCGGUAGUCC